GACGAACGCUGGCGGCGUGCUUAACACAUGCAAGUCGAACGGAAAGGCCCUGCUUUUGUGGGGUGCUCGAGUGGCGAACGGGUGAGUAACACGUGAGUAACCUGCCCUUGACUUUGGGAUAACUUCAGGAAACUGGGGCUAAUACCGGAUAGGAGCUCCUGCUGCAUGGUGGGGGUUGGAAAGUUUCGGCGGUUGGGGAUGGACUCGCGGCUUAUCAGCUUGUUGGUGGGGUAGUGGCUUACCAAGGCUUUGACGGGUAGCCGGCCUGAGAGGGUGACCGGCCACAUUGGGACUGAGAUACGGCCCAGACUCCUACGUGAGGCAGCAGUGGGGAAUAUUGCACAAUGGGCGGAAGCCUGAUGCAGCAACGCCGCGUGCGGGAUGACGGCCUUCGGGUGGUAAACCGCUUUCGCCUGUGACGAAGCGUGAGUGACGGUAAUGGGUAAAGAAGCACCGGCUAACUACGUG
RNAcentral lists this ribosomal RNA (468 nucleotides) under uncultured bacterium. RNAcentral's name for it is "partial 16S ribosomal RNA". It matches the Rfam family "Bacterial small subunit ribosomal RNA", at positions 28 to 507 of the family's 1533-position model. The record is from RNAcentral.